UACGUAGGGGGCAAGCGUUGUCCGGAAUCAUUGGGCGUAAAGCGCGCGUGGCGGCCCGAUAAGUCCGCUGUAAAAGUCAACGGCUCAACUGUUGAACGCCGGUGGAUACUGUCGGGCUAGAGUCCGGAAGAGGCAAGUGGAAUUCCUGGUGUAGCGGUGAAAUGCGCAGAUAUCAGGAAGAACACCCGUGGCGAAGGCGGCUCUCUGGGACGGUACUGACGCUGAGACGCGAAAGCGUGGGGAGCGAACAGG
Molecule: ribosomal RNA, 252 nt
Filed under: uncultured bacterium
Lineage: Bacteria
Description: partial 16S ribosomal RNA
Rfam family: Bacterial small subunit ribosomal RNA
Source: RNAcentral